CCUCUCCCCUGAUGACGUGCACUGGGCUCUGAGUCCGUUUGAAGAGAACGUGCAUCUUUGGCCCUGACAAGCCAAAGUUUCUGAGGAGAAA
This is a small nucleolar RNA of Cyclopterus lumpus (lumpfish), 91 nucleotides long. The record is from Ensembl. Lineage: Eukaryota; Metazoa; Chordata; Actinopteri; Perciformes; Cyclopteridae.